Molecule: ribosomal RNA, 495 nt
Filed under: uncultured Streptococcus sp.
Lineage: Bacteria; Bacillati; Bacillota; Bacilli; Lactobacillales; Streptococcaceae
Also listed under: 1 other name
Description: bacterial SSU rRNA
Rfam family: Bacterial small subunit ribosomal RNA
Source: RNAcentral
GACGAACGCUGGCGGCGUGCCUAAUACAUGCAAGUAGAACGCUGAAGGAGGGGCUUGCUUCUCUGGAUGAGUUGCGAACGGGUGAGUAACGCGUAGGUAACCUGCCUGGUAGCGGGGGAUAACUAUUGGAAACGAUAGCUAAUACCGCAUAAUAGUAGAUAUCGCAUGAUAACUGCUUAAAAGGUGCAAUUGCAUCACUACCAGAUGGACCUGCGUUGUAUUAGCUAGUUGGUGAGGUAACGGCUCACCAAGGCGACGAUACAUAGCCGACCUGAGAGGGUGAUCGGCCACACUGGGACUGAGACACGGCCCAGACUCCUACGGGAGGCAGCAGUAGGGAAUCUUCGGCAAUGGACGGAAGUCUGACCGAGCAACGCCGCGUGAGUGAAGAAGGUUUUCGGAUCGUAAAGCUCUGUUGUAAGAGAAGAACGAGUGUGAGAGUGGAAAGUUCACACUGUGACGGUAUCUUACCAGAAAGGGACGGCUAACUACGUG